RNAcentral lists this long non-coding RNA (436 nucleotides) under Physcomitrium patens. Its description in RNAcentral is "long non-coding RNA (PPAT_LNC010528)". The record is from RNAcentral. Lineage: Eukaryota; Viridiplantae; Streptophyta; Bryopsida; Funariales; Funariaceae.
UAGGGAUGGAACUUCAAAUUCUAUGGAAAAAAUGGCUUCUAUUCCAUACAUCAAAGAAAAAGGUGUAUUUCUUGUAUUAACUUUGUAAGUAACUUAAUAAGCCUAAAGAAUUAAAUAAUAUUAACUUUUAAGUAAUUGAUAAAAGCAAAGGAAAAGUAUUCAUAUUCUUAAUUGGAGUAGAGAGCUUAAAGUUCACAUUCUAUUUAAUUUUUAAUCCAAAGAUUAAAUAAAAAUAGAAAUAUUUACUUUUUUUGUAAAGUAGAUGAACUACUAUAUACGAAGAAAAAUUUUCAGUAAAGAUAAUAUAGUAUUCAAAUUUCAAAAAGGUUGGUGUUACAAUACAACCACUUAAAUUAAAAUAUACUAUUUUAAGAGGUUAUGUAGCACAAAUUAUGGCAAAUUUUAGAAAUUUUGUUAUAAUUUAUUUACCAUAUAU